Molecule: ribosomal RNA, 279 nt
Filed under: uncultured bacterium
Lineage: Bacteria
Description: partial 16S ribosomal RNA
Rfam family: Bacterial small subunit ribosomal RNA
Source: RNAcentral
UGCCAGCUGCCGCGGUAAUACGGAGGGAGCAAACGUUGUUCGGAUUUACCGGGUGUAAAGGGUGCGUAGGCGGCGAAGUGUGUCAGAUGUGAAAGUCCACGGCUCAACCCCGGAAGUGCACUUGAAACAGCAAGACUUGAAUACGGUAGAGGAGAGAGGAAUUCCUGGUGUAGAGGUGAAAUUCGUAGAUAUCAGGAGGAACACCGAUGGCGAAGGCAUCUCUCUGGGUCGAUAUUGACGCUGAGGCGCGAAGGCGUGGGUAGCGAACGGGAUUAGAUA